RNAcentral lists this long non-coding RNA (645 nucleotides) under Mytilus galloprovincialis (Mediterranean mussel). Lineage: Eukaryota; Metazoa; Mollusca; Bivalvia; Mytilida; Mytilidae. The record is from RNAcentral.
GGAGAUUAUUUUAAAGUCAUUUUUUUUUUUUAAGUUCCAGUAGUGGAUCCAGAAGGGGGUUCCGGGGGUUUGAAACACCCCCUUUUUUUGGGACAGUCAAUGCAUUUGAAUGGGGACAUAUAGUUGAGACCUCCCCUUUUUAAAAAUGGCUGGAUCUGCCACUGAGUCAACAAGGCUGGAUUUUUUCUUUCUGUACUAAGCUAAAUCAAAAGUUCGAAGAAUUGGACACAAACCUGGCCAAAAACAUUUUUUGUGAAAUCCUGAAUGCCAAAACAUUCAAUUGAUCACAUUGCACAUCUCUCAAUACUGUCUAUUUUUAAAUGCAACAAUAUAUUGUGAUUAUGGACAUUGAUCAUAGUUUAGAUAUGUAACUAUAGUAUAUAAGUUGGGAGUUUUGUAGGAUUAGUUUUUCACUUUCAGUAAGCAAUUUUUGUUUAAUUGCAUAUUAAAGGAGUAGGUCCGGUAAGGCCAAUUUUGGCCUCAAAAUUUCAGGUUCAUCUAACGAAAGUUUUGGGACACUUUUUAAAACCUUAGUGUCUAUUUCAAUGAUUUGAUUAGUAAUGGAAAAUUUUAACUAAUUAAGUCAUUAAAAAAGCUCUGAUUCAAGCUUAUAUAUGAAAAAUCUAUCAAAUAUGCCAAAAAACG